RNAcentral lists this ribosomal RNA (1438 nucleotides) under metagenome. Its description in RNAcentral is "bacterial SSU rRNA". It matches the Rfam family "Archaeal small subunit ribosomal RNA". The record is from RNAcentral.
UCCCGUUGAUCCUGCGGGAGGUCGCUGCUAUUGGGAUUCGAUUAAGCCAUGCAAGUCAGCUUGUUCCGCAAGGGACUGGCGGCAGACUGCUGAGUAACACGUCGAUAAUCUGCCCUUAGGUCUAGGAAAACUCCGGGAAACUGAAGCUAAACCCAGAUAUGGAAGGAUGCUGGAACGCACCUUCCUUCAAAAGCAAUGCCUAAGGAUGAGUCGGCGGCUGAUUAGGUAGUUGGUGGUGUAAAGGACCACCAAGCCGAAGAUCAGUAGGGGCCAUGAGAGUGGGAGCCCCCAGAAGGGCACUGAGGUACUGGCCCUAGCCCCACGGGGUGCAGCAGGCGCGAAAAUUUUGCACUGUACGCAAGUACGACAAAGGAAUCCUGAGUGCUCAUGGUUUACCAUGGGCUUUUGCCAAGGGUAAAUACCUUGGCGAAUAAGUGGUGGGUAAGACGGGUGCCAGCAGCCGCGGUAACCCCCGCGCCACAAGUGGUGACCACUUUUAUUUGGUCUAAAGCGUCCGUAGCUGGUCUGAUAAAUCUCUUGUGAAAUCGUAGGGCUUAACUCUACGGCGGGCAGGAGACACUGUUGGACUUGGAACCGGGAGGGGUAUGGGGUAUUUCUGGGGGAGCGGUAAAAUGCAAUAAUCCCAGGAAGACCACCUGUGGCGAAGGCGCCAUACCAGAACGGAUUCGACAGUCAGGGACGAAAGCUAGGGGAGCGAUCCGGAUUAGAUACCCGAGUAGUCCUAGCUGUAAACGCUGUGAACUAGGUGUCGCAUAUUCUUUGUGAAUGUGCGGUGUCGACGCGAAGGCAUUAAGUUCACCACCUGGGAAGUACGGUCGCAAGACUGAAACUUAAAGGAAUUGGCGGGGGAGCACUACAAGGGGUGCGGCGUGCGGUUUAAUCUAACUCAACGCAGAGCAUCUUACCAGGGUCGACGGCAGGAUGAAAGUCAGAUUGAAGGUCUUACUUGACGAGCCGAGAGGUAGUGCAUGGCCGGCGUCAGCUCGUGCCGUAAGGUGUCCUGCUAAGUCAGGCAACGAGCGAGACCUGUAUCCACAGUUGCUAACUGGUUCAUCAGAAUGACAGAGCACACUGUGGGGACUGCUCCUGAAAAGGAGAGGAAGGUGCAGGCUACGCUAGGUCUGUAUGCUCCGAAUACUCUGGGCUACACGCGCGCAACAAUGGAAGGAACAAUGGGAUGCAACUCCGAAAGGAGAAGCUAAUCCUCUAAAUCCUUUCCCAGUUCAAAUUGUGGGUUGUAAUUCACCCACAUGACGUUGGAAUCCCUAGUAAUCGGGCUUCAUCACAGCCCGGUGAAUAUGUCCCUGCUCCUUGCACACACCGCCCGUCAAGCCAACCGAGCCAGCUUUCGGUGAGGUGCAGCUUAUGGCUGCCUCGAAUCGAAGGUUAGUGAGGUGGGCUAAGUCGUCACAAGGUA